UGGGGAAUAUUGCACAAUGGGGGAAACCCUGAUGCAGCGACGCCGCGUGAAGGAUGAAGGUCUUCGGAUUGUAAACUUAUGUCUUCAGGGACGAUAAUGACGGUACCUGAGGAGGAAGCCACGGCUAACUACGUGCCAGCAGCCGCGGUAAUACGUAGGUGGCGAGCGUUGUCCGGAUUUACUGGGUGUAAAGGGCGCGUAGGCGGGUUUUUAAGUUAGGUGUGAAAUACCCCGGCUCAACCGGGGAACUGCACUUAAAACUGGAAGUCUUGAGUGCCGGAGAGGAAAGCGGAAUUCCUAGUGUAGCGGUGAAAUGCGUAGAUAUUAGGAGGAACACCAGUGGCGAAGGCGGCUUUCUGGACGGUAACUGACGCUGAGGCGCGAAAGCGUGGGGAGCAAACAGG
RNAcentral lists this ribosomal RNA (404 nucleotides) under uncultured prokaryote. RNAcentral's name for it is "bacterial SSU rRNA". It matches the Rfam family "Bacterial small subunit ribosomal RNA", at positions 355 to 776 of the family's 1533-position model. The record is from RNAcentral. RNAcentral also lists the same sequence under 1 other name.